GACGAACGCUGGCGGCGUGCCUAACACAUGCAAGUCGAGCGGAAAUAUUCUGAAGAGUAAUCGGAAGGAUAUUUUAGCGGCGGACGGGUGAGUAACACGUGGGCAACCUGCCCUGUACAGGGGGAUAACACUGGGAAACUAGUGCUAAUACCGCAUGAUACGCGAAGAUGGCAUCAUUUUUGCGUCAAAGGAGAAAUCCGGUACAGGAUGGGCCCGCGUCCGAUUAGCUAGUUGGUGAGGUAAUGGCUCACCAAGGCGACGAUCGGUAGCCGGAUUGAGAGGUUGAACGGCCACAUUGGGACUGAGACACGGCCCAGACUCCUACGGGAGGCAGCAGUGGGGAAUAUUGCACAAUGGGGGAAACCCUGAUGCAGCGACGCCGCGUGAAGGAAGAAGGUCUUCGGAUUGUAAACUUCUUUGAUUGGGGACGAAAUAUGACGGUACCCAAGGAACAAGCCACGGCUAACUACGUG
Molecule: ribosomal RNA, 473 nt
Filed under: uncultured bacterium
Lineage: Bacteria
Description: bacterial SSU rRNA
Rfam family: Bacterial small subunit ribosomal RNA
Source: RNAcentral